RNAcentral lists this ribosomal RNA (403 nucleotides) under Salmonella enterica subsp. enterica serovar Enteritidis str. 10-34587. Its description in RNAcentral is "bacterial LSU rRNA". It matches the Rfam family "Bacterial large subunit ribosomal RNA", at positions 2098 to 2500 of the family's 2925-position model. Lineage: Bacteria; Pseudomonadati; Pseudomonadota; Gammaproteobacteria; Enterobacterales; Enterobacteriaceae. The record is from RNAcentral.
CCUUUACUAUAGCUUGACACUGAACAUUGAGCCUUGAUGUGUAGGAUAGGUGGGAGGCUUUGAAGUGUGGACGCCAGUCUGCAUGGAGCCGACCUUGAAAUACCACCCUUUAAUGUUUGAUGUUCUAACGUGGACCCGUUACCCGGGUUGCGGACAGUGUCUGGUGGGUAGUUUGACUGGGGCGGUCUCCUCCUAAAGAGUAACGGAGGAGCACUAAGGUUGGCUAAUCCUGGUCGGACAUCAGGAGGUUAGUGCAAUGGCAUAAGCCAGCUUGACUGCGAGCGUGACGGCGCGAGCAGGUGCGAAAGCAGGUCAUAGUGAUCCGGUGGUUCUGAAUGGAAGGGCCAUCGCUCAACGGAUAAAAGGUACUCCGGGGAUAACAGGCUGAUACCGCCCAAGAGUU